RNAcentral lists this long non-coding RNA (915 nucleotides) under Ananas comosus (pineapple). RNAcentral's name for it is "long non-coding RNA (ACOM_LNC021884)". The record is from RNAcentral. Lineage: Eukaryota; Viridiplantae; Streptophyta; Magnoliopsida; Poales; Bromeliaceae.
UCGAAUAUGGCCGGAUAUUUGACGAAACCAUAACCGCAUCCAUAUUUUUUAUAUGUCGGAUGCUAAAUUUUUAUUAUUAUAUACGUUAAAAACAGAUUCGGGAUGUGGUCGGAUAUUUUUUUCAAACUCGAAUAUGAAUCGAAUAUGUAUUCAGAUAAUAAUAUAAUAUGCACAUAUACAAAAAAAAUUAUUUUAUUUUUCCACCUUAUUUUCUGACUAUAUUUCUUUACAUAUAAAAUACAUAAUUUUAAUAUAUAACUCAUUAUAAAAUAACUGGAAUAAUACAAAAAAGUCACCUUAUUUUUUCACAACAUGUAUUAAUUAUUUAUCCGUAUCUUGAUUGGACGAGUAGACAAGAAAAAUCAACUCCGGAGGAAAGAGAUUUGGGUAGGAUGGACGGGCAAAAUUGAGAUAGACGAAUCCAAAAAAUAUAAAGAAUAUAAAAAUAAUAAUAGUAAAGUUCGGAUAUAUAUAUCUACAGCUAUAUCUGUUAUUUUCAUAUAUUCGAAAAAUAACUCUUUAAAACAAUAUUCGUAUACGCAUCCGUAUCCGACCAGAUCCUAAUAUUUUCUAUUCGGAUCUGAAUAUUUUCAAAUAAUAAUAUUCUAUCCGUUUUCACCCUAAUAUCGUCACAUUAUUGUGAGUUAUUUUGUGCAGUAUAUCAGACCAGCACAUCAACAGCAGUAGAACAAAAGGCAAUAUUAACAUUUCGUGUCUAAGCAAACCGAGCAAAUAGAAUAUCAAGAUAUUUUUCUAUCACACUUUCUGAGCGAUACAGACGCUUUCUGGAAUCGCGGGGAGAGGCGGAGGGAGAGUUAGGGGGGGUGUUAUGGGGUGAGCAUAGGAGGGGUAUGCAAUGAGAAUGGUGUAGGUAGAGGGGGUGUGGGGUGGGGAGAGAGAGAGGGACUGCGAAAU